RNAcentral lists this ribosomal RNA (255 nucleotides) under uncultured bacterium. RNAcentral describes it as "partial 16S ribosomal RNA". It matches the Rfam family "Bacterial small subunit ribosomal RNA", at positions 524 to 776 of the family's 1533-position model. The record is from RNAcentral.
UACGUAGGGGUCGAGCGUUGUCCGGAGUUACUGGGCGUAAAGCGUGUGCAGGCGGCUCAUUGCGCCCGGCGUGAAAGCCCCCGGCUCAACCGGGGAGAGUCGUCGGGGACGGGUGAGCUUGAGGGUAUCAGGGGCUGGUGGAAUUCCUGGUGUAGCGGUGAAAUGCGUAGAGAUCAGGAGGAACACCCGUGGCGAAGGCGGCGCCCUGGUCCGUCCCUGACGCUGAGACGCGAAAAGCGCGGGGGAGCGAACGGG